GUUGACCUCGGAUCAGGUAGGAAUACCCGCUGAACUUAAGCAUAUCAAAAGGCCGGAGGA
This 60-nucleotide ribosomal RNA is filed under the name Fusarium oxysporum. Its description in RNAcentral is "partial 28S ribosomal RNA". Lineage: Eukaryota; Fungi; Ascomycota; Sordariomycetes; Hypocreales; Nectriaceae. The record is from RNAcentral.